RNAcentral lists this unclassified non-coding RNA (336 nucleotides) under soil metagenome. Its description in RNAcentral is "partial contains 5.8S ribosomal RNA, internal transcribed spacer 2, and large subunit ribosomal RNA". The stretch from base 1 to 120 matches the Rfam family "5.8S ribosomal RNA", at positions 35 to 154 of the family's 154-position model. The record is from RNAcentral.
GAUGAAGAACGUAGCGAAAUGCGAUAAGUAAUGUGAAUUGCAGAAUUCAGUGAAUCAUCGAAUCUUUGAACGCACAUUGCGCCCGCCAGUAUUCUGGCGGGCAUGCCUGUUCGAGCGUCAUUUCAACCAUCAAGCCCCAGGCUUGUGUUGGGGACCUGCGGCUGCCGCAGGCCCUGAAAACCAGUGGCGGGCUCGCUGUCACACCGGGCGUAGUAGAUUUUAUCUCGCUCAGGGCGUGCUGCGGGUUCCGGCCGUUAAAAAGCCUUUUUUACCCAAGGUUGACCUCGGAUCGGGUAGGAAGACCCGCUGAACUUAAGCAUAUCAAUAAGCGGAGGA